AAUGCGAUUGCUUAAUACUUUUCGUCAGGCUAGAGACCAAAGCUACUUUCUCACAUAAAAACCUCUCCAGGCAAUAUUAACUUAUUCAGCGUACCACUAAAAAGCCACUUAAUAUAGACCAAGCAAGCAAUCCCACAAUACCCCAGCAGAAAGGUCUCCCAAUCGCAAGAAUCGCAGUAAGGGAAAUCCAGUGAGCUGUGCUAAUAUAUCAAAGUGUUGGAGGAUGGACGUUAUUUGGUGCCAGCGUAUAGCCACAGUAAAAUACCUUAUUGGAGUAAACGGGAACGGCUGAGAUGGAUGAAGGGUCAGUAAUACGUCGUCGUUUCGGAGGCCACGACGUAUCUCUGGGCUACGUUGAGAGGCGGCGAGUAACCAUCUGCAUAAGAGGUGUCUUCAAACAGCACUGAAUAGUCGUCCUGGGGCUGCAAUUAAAAAUGUGCUGCUUAAAAACA
Long non-coding RNA from Electrophorus electricus (electric eel), 452 nucleotides. RefSeq lists it as uncharacterized. Lineage: Eukaryota; Metazoa; Chordata; Actinopteri; Gymnotiformes; Gymnotidae. The record is from RefSeq and is a predicted model, not a curated record.